Long non-coding RNA from Homo sapiens (human), 1112 nucleotides. The record is from Ensembl. Lineage: Eukaryota; Metazoa; Chordata; Mammalia; Primates; Hominidae.
GAUCUUGAUGCUAUCUGUUCCUCGUUACAGCAGACCUGCUCAACUUCAGCAGCUAGAAGGAGGAUUGUCUUUCACCAGCUGCAGGAGCCUGUUCCCACUACAAGCCUGGUGGAGUCUUCGGAGCAGAUGUGACUGUCCUACUUGUAUAGAGAAGAGAAACUGAGGCUCAGAAGAGAUGCCUGGCUGAGUUUAAUAGGACUGCAACAACAAUUUUGCCUUUCUACUUUCUGACCGUUUGCAAAGAAAUUUCCUAAACAUCACCACUGAGGCUCCUUCCAGCAAUGACUCUGGUCCAUCAUUGGGAUUGCUGAGCAGCUGUUUCAUAACAUGAACAAGGAUGUUUUAACCAUGUUUCUUGACCUGGCCAUUUGGAUCCCAAGGAUGUUUUGGUCCAAGAAUAAAUUCCAGAGCUUAGCUCACCGAAGAAGACAGGAAAACUUGUCAGAUGGGGAAGGAUGUGUCAAGAGCAUGCACACAGAUUUACUCUUCAGCUAGAAGCUCCAAUUCCUAGAUGAUCUGAAUCCAACUCAGAGUGCUUGCACCUGUUUCCUGCCACACAGCUAGAGCUGUAUGAUGACCGGAGACACAGCUGUUGGAGGAAAAAAGUUUAUGUCAAUUAAAAUCCUGAAUUUCUCUGAUCUGGAAAGAAAAACUGCUAUGAACUCUUUAGACACACUCCACAAUAUCUGAGAAAUAGAAUAACUGGGGAUGAAUGAAUGAGAAAAUUAAUGAAGAAAUGAAGGAAGUUACCUGGUCAAACUGCUAAGAAGUAACAAGGCAAAGGAAAGAACUAUGUUUCCUUUCUUCAACUCAGCCCUUAUUCCUACAUCCCGUGUCUGUGGUUCAUGUUACAAACCACACCAAUAAGAACUUUGUCAUACUAUUUGUCACUGUGAUCCGUUCCAUGGAAGAAAAUGGUUCAUUUUGCUCAUUAAUAUUAAUUAAGAUACAUAUUAAGUAACAUAGUUGAGCUUCGUUACGGUAGAUACUAUGGCUUUUUCUCCUUUUGUUCUGUUAUUAUCUGACACUUACUAUGUCCUAAUUCAGUUAGCAAGUUCUAAUUCAUUAAUGUUCGUCAAAUGAAUGAACCCAGAAAUUCUUAAAUUAAAAAA